Molecule: long non-coding RNA, 1549 nt
Filed under: Amphibalanus amphitrite
Lineage: Eukaryota; Metazoa; Arthropoda; Thecostraca; Balanomorpha; Balanidae
Description: uncharacterized LOC122363410
Source: RNAcentral
GCAAACUAGGCGGCGGGAAUCAAAAUAUGGAGGCAUCAAAAUAUUGAUUCUAGUGGGCGGAGCUUUGACCAUAUAUGGGCAUAGAAUCAAUAUUUUGAUUCAAUUUGGGACAUUCCCACCUUCAGACGACCCGUUACGGCGGAAAAAACCCCCAUGACGGCGAGAUUUUUUGACAAGUCAACACAAAAAACUUCCCCGCUUCAAUUUUUCGCUGCAUGGCUAUCAGCCGUUUGUCGCGCGUACCUUUACGAAUGGCAUAAAGAUUUCGCCGCCAUAAUUCAACAAAAACGUGCUGUUAAAACUUGCUCUGUUUAUCAUUAACGACGAGCCUUUGUAUUUUUUUCAUAAUUUUGUCUAAAAGAAAAUGAAAAAUGCGUUAUUUAGUUGUAUAAUUCAUUUAUAAGAAAUAUUCUUUUUCUUUGUAUCUAGCCACGAUAUCCGGUUCCCGCCAUUUCGCGCCGGCGUCGUGGGUGUUUGGAUGCAACGUAGUGCUCCCGGUUUUAUUUUGUUUAAGCGACCUUUUCUGAAGUGUCAACCAAUGAUCAAACACUGGUCGUUGCGGGGAUUGGCUUCAGAGGGUCAAGGAUGGCGUCUUGAAUCGCUGUUCAGUCGACAGGCAACUGUAUGACAACGCCAUCCCUGUCAACCAGAGCGUCGACCGAAGUAGGGCGGCGUUGCGCGGACCUGGCCGCACCCGACCAACCGGUGGAGUACCUGACUCGGGCUGGGUGGAGACUACCUACAUCACGACUUUUUGAACUUUGAUCUCGUGGCGAGAAACAAUAUGACGUGAGGAAGUGUGUAUGUGGCUGGCGGGGCCGAGGGUGAAAUGCGCCACGUGUUUAUCCUGCCGGAUGACGACAGCGUCACCAACCUGUCAAAGAACGAGCUGGUGCAGCGCGUGAUGACUGCUAUCUCGUCCCUAGAACCGGAGUAGAAAAACGUGUGCAUAGCCCAAAUGAAGCGAACCAAAACACAGGCAGGACUGAUAGUUUUUCGGUCGAGAAUGUUCUGAAGAUGCUGAUCCGUAGACCAAUUGGUGACCGUUUUCGGUGGUAAUAUGGAAUCUUGUGAUGUUCCAAAGCGACCUGCUUUGGGUGUGGACAUAAGUGGCUCAACCUGACAGGAUUGAUGUGUUAGGUAGCCGUGCUAAUCAUAAACCCUAUAUUGAGUGUAUCUGUACAAAUUUUGUUUAUAUUUAUUUCAUGUAUUUGAUUCGAAACCGGAAAUUGCUCUUUGUAAUUAGGCAACAUCGAGACGUUGAAGUCAUUCUCCAGAAGUUUAUUUGUUUUUUCUUACCUGUCCACGGUAUGUCUUAUUGGUUAGGUCUCAGUUUUAAAUAUUAUUAACUGCAUGUUUUGCAAAUACGUAGCCAUAUUGAAUAAGAGACGUGUCCUAAAAGUGAGUAUUGCUUUGCAUGGGAUGUGAGCAUCAACGACAGGGCUUUGUGAUGGCAAAUGUGUGGCAAUUGCAGGGAUCGUUGUGAAAUGUGUUAUGAAUAUCAUCGUAUUAUUUGCGACUGCAAAUACAUCCGUGUAUCAUAUUUUCA